UUACUUUAUUGCAUCUUUAUCUACGCACGUCUUUACCAGUCCGUCGUCGUUUUUGGAGUGCCCAUUGAAAAAUGUACGGUCCACGUAACUUUCGUUGCGGCCUACAGUUUCUACACGGGGACUACAUUCAAUUCCGUGAGAAAACGGGAAGAAAUUGCAGAAUUUCUUACCAACUUUUUUAAAGUCGAUGGUUUAUUCAAGCCUCUAAAACAUCAAGAAGCAAAAAUCAAAGAGUUUGGAAAAUUGGUGCGGCUUUUAUAUUUUCUGUGCAUUAACACCGGCAUUCUUCACGCUCCUUUGUUUCUCGCUCUGUCCAACAAUGCAAAUUUCAUAUUUUCUGUUCUGUCACCACAUUUUAUCCGGUUUCCGCUCUUGUAUCCUGUAUUAAAAUUCUGCUUUGCCAUGUUGGAAAUGCUGAUGGGAUUAGCAGCUUGGGGUGAGCAUGGACAUUCCAAUUACAUAAAUUAUUACAUAGAAGGACUUAAUGCUAUUGUAGUUUUGUGUCAUGUAUGAAAUUACUUAUGACAGGUGCAUCUGCUGUUGUGUAUACGAUAAGCUUCUGCGUCGUGGCCAAUAGUUUACCUGCAUGGGCGGAAGUGAUGAAGUUAGUAAUUUUAAAAAUUAUUUAUUGAUCCAUUCAUAUUUAAACUUCAAACGAUCCAUAUUUAUGUCUGUAUGUUGUGCAGAAGUGUAUAGUUUCCUAAUUUGAUAGAUAUGAUGUAACCUGGCGAGCUAUACCCCUGCCUCGCCAACGAUACUAUCGAAUUGUGCAACUUUUGAUGCUACAAUUCAACGAUUGUUUUGCAUAUGACGCAUUUCUAACGAUUAGUGCAUUAUCAUACGUUGGAAUGGUUAUCUGCGCAUUUGCGACAAUACGAUAUUACGGCGUAAUCCCGUUUUUGGCGUACGCCGUGUUUCCUACAGCAGCCAUUUUAAUAGCUCUCUACGUCUUUCUUCUCUAUCCAAGUGCCGGAAGAGCGUCAGAGUCUCAUACGAGGAUGGUGAGACAGUGGGGGUAUAUCGAGUCUCACAUAAAAACAGAGCGCCUGGAAGGAAAUUCAGAAACGAGUCAGCCCCACAGAUCACGUAACUGGGGCAUAAUAGCAAGAGCCCAAGAAUUUAACAAGAGAAAGUACAACCUGGCAUUUCUUCGCUCUUGUCGCCAAAUUGGGUUUCAAGUCGGUCCCCUCUUCAAUGUUAAACCUGGAACAACACUCAACUUCGCAGACAUGGUGAUUGAUCAGUUAAUUAACUGUCUGAUUUCAUUUUAGAUAUGCACCUUAUGAAAAACUGUUGAACUUGAACAAUUAAAUAAAAAGUUAUUGGUAGCUAUUUACGUAAUACAGAUGUACGCAAUACAGACGAACGUAUGCUUUAAUUGCUCAGUUUCUUUCCUUAUCUGCAUAUCUAAAUAUGUACAUGAAUUAAGUAAAAUUCUGCAGAACAUGACGAACUUAUUGCAGAAUAUCGCUCGAUUGA
Molecule: long non-coding RNA, 1479 nt
Organism: Folsomia candida
Lineage: Eukaryota; Metazoa; Arthropoda; Collembola; Entomobryomorpha; Isotomidae
Exons: 3
Source: RefSeq, a predicted model, not a curated record